GGUGAAGUGGAUCUGCAGGGCCACGUCCCGGUCGUCGUCCUCGUCCGCGGCCAGCAGGCACAGGACCACGUUGUCGGGGUCUCUGCGGGCGGCGGGGGCGGCGUCACCGCCUGGCCCAGGCCUACCAGUAACAGAAGGCUAAGAGCUCAGGGAGUCUCUUUGCUGACUCCGUGGUCUGACCGCAGUUCCGGAAGUUCUCCACUGUGAAGCUGUGGGCUGAAGUGAAACAUCCCAGGGAGACAUGUUGGAAGCCCUCCCACAGGCUGUCCACCUAAGGAAAGCACUGUUCUGAGGUGCUGACUAUCUAGAUGAUGGUGUCCCAUACUUGCAAACGUGCUGGCAGCCAGAUGCCACAGGAGUUGCAAAGCAGCACAACCCAAGGCCCUGCUUCCCGUAGCUGCAGCCAUCACAGAAGUCAGGACACAGCCCCAGAAGCCGCUGCACAAGAGUGCAUGGUUAAAGCUGACCAGUUCCCACAUGUCUGGCAUCACACCUACUCUGCAGCUGAGACUUCAGGAGCAUAAGUUCAAGGCUUAGAUGAGCUACAGGGUGAGUUCAAGACCAGCCUGGACAAUUAAGUGAGUUCAAAAUACCAUAGUGCAGACAGAAGGCACAUUCUGUGCCUUGGAUAAUAAGCACAUAGAGUCACGAAACGUUCAGCUCCAGGAACAGGGACUUGGCUAAUAGUAACUUUAUUAAUAAAGUAUUUCAUUAUUCCACAUACCAGACAUAGUGCUCCAUGCCUGUAAUCCUAGAACUUGAGACUGGAAGGCAGGAAGAUUAAAAGUUCAAGAUGAAUCUGACUGUGUAGCAAGUUUAGGACCAGCCUGGGCUAUCUGUCUCAAUCAGAGGGAAAAGCACACAGUGA
Molecule: long non-coding RNA, 868 nt
Organism: Meriones unguiculatus (Mongolian gerbil)
Lineage: Eukaryota; Metazoa; Chordata; Mammalia; Rodentia; Muridae
Exons: 4
Source: RefSeq, a predicted model, not a curated record